This 239-nucleotide long non-coding RNA is filed under the name Elaeis guineensis (African oil palm). RNAcentral's name for it is "long non-coding RNA (EGUI_LNC054711)". The record is from RNAcentral. Lineage: Eukaryota; Viridiplantae; Streptophyta; Magnoliopsida; Arecales; Arecaceae.
GAUUCAAAUUUCAGAACCAUGCUAGAGUCCAUGUGCCAGGGUCAAUUCAUGUACAAGAAACCCAUUGAAGCUUGACAAUUUCUAGAAGACCUAGCUGAGAAGAAUUUACAAUAGAAAAUAACUAGAGAACCUGAGAGACCAACACCUUCAAGGGAGGAAUGCACCAAAUUCAGACUUUCCUAGCUGUAGAGGCCAAAAUUGCAACCUUAGUACGUAGGUUAAAGGCCUUAGAGCUGCAG